UGGGGAAUAUUGCACAAUGGGCGAAAGCCUGAUGCAGCAACGCCGCGUGAGUGAUGAAGGCCUUCGGGUUGUAAAGCUCUGUCUUUUGGGACGAUAAUGACGGUACCAAAGGAGGAAGCCACGGCUAACUACGUGCCAGCAGCCGCGGUAAUACGUAGGUGGCAAGCGUUGUCCGGAUUUACUGGGCGUAAAGGAUGCGUAGGCGGAUUUUUAAGUGAGAUGUGAAAACCCUAAGCUUAACUUGGGGACUGCAUUUCAUACUGGAAAUCUAGAGUGCGGGAGAGGAGAAUGGAAUUCCUAGUGUAGCGGUGAAAUGCGUAGAGAUUAGGAAGAACACCAGUGGCGAAGGCGAUUCUCUGGACCGUAACUGACGCUGAGGCAUGAAAGCGUGGGUAGCAAAACAGGAUUAGAUACCCUGGUAGUCCACGCCGUAAACGAUGAGUACUAGGUGUAGGAGGUAUCGACCCCUUCUGUGCCGCAGUUAACACAAUAAGUACCCCGCCUGGGAAGUACGAUCGCAAGAUUAAAAACUC
Molecule: ribosomal RNA, 533 nt
Filed under: uncultured bacterium
Lineage: Bacteria
Description: partial 16S ribosomal RNA
Rfam family: Bacterial small subunit ribosomal RNA
Source: RNAcentral